This 301-nucleotide ribosomal RNA is filed under the name uncultured bacterium. Its description in RNAcentral is "partial 16S ribosomal RNA". It matches the Rfam family "Bacterial small subunit ribosomal RNA", at positions 509 to 808 of the family's 1533-position model. The record is from RNAcentral.
CAGCCGCCACGGUAAUACGUAGGUCCCGAGCGUUGUCCGGAUUUAUUGGGCGUAAAGCGAGCGCAGGCGGUUAGAUAAGUCUGAAGUUAAAGGCUGUGGCUUAACCAUAGUACGCUUUGGAAACUGUUUAACUUGAGUGCAAGAGGGGAGAGUGGAAUUCCAUGUGUAGCGGUGAAAUGCGUAGAUAUAUGGAGGAACACCGGUGGCGAAAGCGGCUCUCUGGCUUGUAACUGACGCUGAGGCCCGAAAGCGUGGGGAGCAAACAGGAUUAGAUACCCGCGUAGUCCCUGUCUCUUAUACC